UGUACAUGAAAAUAUCCAAUCCAUGAAGCUUUUUCUUGCAAAGAUGGCAUGAACUCAAGAAAUCCACAUCCUCAAACACCAUCCCACCACCAACAACCACCGGAGGCGACGGUGAACAAAACACUCCACCACCACCACCAUUAGUGCUAACCCAAUAUGUAGUAACAUGACCACCAUUAACACAACUUUUUUUCUUAACUCCAUCAUCAAAAUACUCUCUUUUCUUGAUCAAAUUAUUCCCCACAUGUGAUAUCACACAUGUAUACUCCUCCAAUAACUCAAUCUCAACAUCUUGAGUUGAGUGUUUGCUAAAUAUGGGAAUUGGGUUGGAUCUAGGAGAAACCGAAAAAACCGGGUUUUGCGUACUAUGAACCAAUGAUUCAUCACUCAAAGCUACCACAAUUCCCAGCCCGACGACACCUGUUUUUAGAGAUAAUCUUGACUUUUUAGUGCUUUCCCUCUUAAAAUCUGCCAUUUUUAGACAAGAUUUUAUAUGG
This 497-nucleotide long non-coding RNA is filed under the name Helianthus annuus (common sunflower). Its description in RNAcentral is "sRNA HanXRQr2_Chr10g0455711". The record is from RNAcentral. Lineage: Eukaryota; Viridiplantae; Streptophyta; Magnoliopsida; Asterales; Asteraceae.